Molecule: non-coding RNA, 549 nt
Organism: Archocentrus centrarchus (flier cichlid)
Lineage: Eukaryota; Metazoa; Chordata; Actinopteri; Cichliformes; Cichlidae
Source: the annotation of a RefSeq genome assembly
AUGAAUGAUGUGAUUGUUGCUGGACUAACAGUCAACCACUCUGUAUCACUGUGGUGGACGUUUGGUGGAGGAACCAGACUGGAUGUUAACUUGGGUCGAGUCCCCCCCACCCUGACGGUGCUGGCCACCUCCAGUGAGGAGGAGCUGCAGCAGGGGAAGGCUACGGUCAUGUGUCUGGCCAACAAGGGCUACCCCUCAGGCUGGAGUCUGUCCUGGAAGGUGGAUGGAAGCAGCAGCAUCAGAGGGGAGGAGAGCAGGAGCCCCGGGGUGCUGCAGAAUGAUGGCCACUACAGCUGGAGCAGCACCCUGAGGCUCCCUGCAGAGCAGUGGGAGAAGGUGGGCUCUGUGACCUGUGAGGCCACCCAGGGCUCCCAGACUCCAGUCUCAGAGACACUGAGGAGAGACCAGUGUUCCCAGUCCUGACCUGACCCACUGGGCCUCUGAUCCUGGUUUACUCUGUACUCUGUGUUUCUCUGUCUCAUUAUUCAGCUCCACUGUUGCUGAUAUUGUUCAUGCUUUAAGACAAUAAAAGUUUCUUUUUCAAAUCAA